This 346-nucleotide ribosomal RNA is filed under the name uncultured bacterium. RNAcentral describes it as "bacterial SSU rRNA". It matches the Rfam family "Bacterial small subunit ribosomal RNA", at positions 556 to 901 of the family's 1533-position model. The record is from RNAcentral.
GGGUGUAAAGCGUGCGCAGGCGGUUUUGUAAGACAGAGGUGAAAUCCCCGGGCUCAACCUGGGAACUGCCUUUGUGACUGCAAGGCUGGAGUGCGGCAGAGGGGGAUGGAAUUCCGCGUGUAGCAGUGAAAUGCGUAGAUAUGCGGAGGAACACCGAUGGCGAAGGCAAUCCCCUGGGCCUGCACUGACGCUCAUGCACGAAAGCGUGGGGAGCAAACAGGAUUAGAUACCCCUGGUAGUCCACGCCCUAAACGAUGUCAACUGGUUGUUGGGUCUUCACUGACUCAGUAACGAAGCUAACGCGUGAAGUUGACCGCCUGGGGAGUACGGCCGCAAGGUUGAAACU